Molecule: ribosomal RNA, 250 nt
Filed under: uncultured prokaryote
Description: partial 16S ribosomal RNA
Rfam family: Bacterial small subunit ribosomal RNA
Source: RNAcentral
UACGUAGGUGGCGAGCGUUGUCCGGAUUUACUGGGUGUAAAGGGCGCGUAGGCGGGGCAGCAAGUCAGGUGUGAAAUCUCUGGGCUUAACCCAGAAACUGCACUUGAAACUGUUGCUCUUGAGUGUCGGAGAGGUAGACGGAAUUCCUAGUGUAGCGGUGAAAUGCGUAGAUAUUAGGAGGAACACCAGUGGCGAAGGCGGUCUACUGGACGAUAACUGACGCUGAGGCGCGAAAGCGUGGGGAGCAAAC